AAGUUUGAUCCUGGCUCAGGAUAAACGCUGGCGGGUGCUUUAUGCAUGCAAGUCGAACGGUUUUUCCCGCAAGGGAAGGAUAGUGGCAAACGGGUGAGUAACGCGUAAGUAACCUGCCCCUAAGUGGGGGAUAACUCUGAAAAUCGGAGCUAAUACCGCAUGUGGUUCUUCACCACAAGAUGAAGAACUAAAGUCGUAAGACGCUUGGGGAGGGGCUUGCGUCCGAUUAGCUAGUUGGUAGAGUAACAGCCUACCAAGGCGGUGAUCGGUAGCUGGUCUGAGAGGAUGAUCAGCCACACUGGGACUGAGACACGGCCCAGACUCCUACGGGAGGCAGCAGCAAGGAAUUUUGUGCAAUGGGCGAAAGCCUGACACAGCGACGCCGCGUGGGGGAGGAAGGCCUUCGGGUUGUAAACCCCUUUUCUCAGGGAGGAAUAAUGACAGUACCUGAGGAAUAAGCAACAGCUAACUACGUGCCAGCAGCCGCGGUAAA
This 493-nucleotide ribosomal RNA is filed under the name uncultured Dehalogenimonas sp. Its description in RNAcentral is "bacterial SSU rRNA". It matches the Rfam family "Bacterial small subunit ribosomal RNA", at positions 9 to 524 of the family's 1533-position model. Lineage: Bacteria; Bacillati; Chloroflexota; Dehalococcoidia; Dehalococcoidales; Dehalococcoidaceae. The record is from RNAcentral.